Molecule: long non-coding RNA, 784 nt
Filed under: Mustela putorius furo (domestic ferret)
Lineage: Eukaryota; Metazoa; Chordata; Mammalia; Carnivora; Mustelidae
Description: lncRNA (ENSMPUG00000027268.1)
Source: RNAcentral
GGCACCGAGAGUGUGCGUGCGUUCUUCUCCUCCAGGCAAAAUGGGGCUCGGGUUGGACGCCCGAGACAAAUCCCUCCAGUGCCUAGAGAGUUAAGUUAGUUGGGUUUCUUGUGUAGCUUCCCAGAACGAGGGAGAAAGACAGACCGAGAAGCGAACGCACGGUGCCUCCCGGGAGCGUCUCGAUCGCCGCUGCGGGUCCCCGCGCCCCGUCCCCGGCCGCUGGCGGAGCCCGGUCCCCGCGGCUCCCCGCGCCCUGCCUACCUGCCCGGCCGCGCUCGCCGCCCGCAGCCUCCCGUCGCCUCCCUCCUGAUUGGGCAGACGCCCCCCAAUCGGCUGCGCGGCUGGGCCGGUGGGACUGCAUAUGUAAAGCCCUACUUCAUAUUAAUAAGCUCCAAUCGGGGCUUUAAGUCCUUGAUUAGGAGAGUGUGAGAGCUUUGGUCCCAACUGGCUGUGCCUAUAGGCUUGUCACUAGGAGAACAUUUGUGUUAAUUGCACUGUGCUCUGUCAAGGAAACUUUGAUUUAUAGCUGGGGAGCACGAAUAAUGGUUGCCGGUCGCACAUGGAUUCGGUAGAACUUUGCCUGCCUGAAUCUUUUUCCCUGCACUACGAGGAAGAUGAACAAAACUUUAAUGUCUAGAGCAUUUAUGAGGGUUGUAAUGAUUGGAAAAUCUGUCCUGAGAAUGUGGUCACCAUAUGUGACAGCCUUGCUUUCUAUCUUGUCUUCAGUUUAUGGGGUAAGUUCGGUGAUAUUGUCUAUUGUCUUACUUUGCUUAUGUAAUGAACC